CAACCUGUCUGUUUAACUGAUAAGAGUACUGCAUUCCAGUGUGGUUAAGUAAUCUGCCCAAAAUCAAACAGCUAGUGGGGAGCUGGCCCGAAGGAAAAGAGCACGUCUUCUCUCUCUUUGCUAUGAAGCUAAUAAGGCAGACUUUCUCAGUGGAUUCAGUAGAAGGAAAUGUUUGAUUCCGCAAAUUUUUUUUGGAUUUUCCUCAAGACCGUACAAGUCACGGUGGGAAGACUUGAAGAACCAGACAUGGUGUCCUCAUGGCUCUUAGUCAUGUAGGUGUAGAGAACUAACUGUACAGUGUAGCAGAGGAGUUUUAAUAUGUGGGUCCCUAUGAUCAAAUGAGGGACUUGCUUUGCACCCCAUGUUUGAUGAGGCUCCUGUUACUGGCAAGGAAUUCAGCCUUCCAAAUCUGUGCUGGGACAUGGGGCUCCAGGGACCUGGCAGCAGACACAGGAGAAGACACAUGUGUAGAGGUAGGCCAGUAGACUCCCUGUCCCUCACCCCCCUUUGACAGAGAUGACUGAGGUCUGAGGUCUGCUGCCUGCCACCACCCACCCGCAGCUACUUCCUGACUCUGCAGCCUUGGGCAGAGUCUCCCAGUUUGGAUCCAGGAAGCAUACCAGAUGAUGGUGGUAGGCAGCCUCUGCGAUGGCCCCCCCAAAGUCCCCACCUCCUCGGAUCCAUGCUGUCAUGGAAUCCUCUCCCUUUCAGGAUGUGCUGGACCUAGUGACUGGAUUCUCACGAACAGGAUAAAAAUGAGGGGACAGUACUUCUGAGCUUAGGUUAAGAAAGCACUUCCAUCUUCGGUGCUCUCUGGCUCUGAGGAAGCUGGCUGCUAGGCUGUGAACUGCCCUGUGAGAGGCACACGUACCAAGGAGCUGAAGUCUCCUGCCAGGGAGGUCUACCAACAACCAUGUCCGUGCCCCUCAAGCCCCAAGAUCACUGCUGCCCAUCCGCCGUCCUGACGCAGUCUGUGAAGGAUCCCUGAAAUCCGAGGUACCCAGCAAGGAGGUUCUGGAUUCCAACCCACAGAAACUGUAAGACAAUAAACGUUCGUUGUUUAAAUAUGUUCAAUUUUAGGGUAACUUGUUAGGCUGCAAUAUUAAAAAUGUGGAGUUGUCCUUCCUGGAUCACCCUUCAGCAAGGUUUGUCUCCUGUUGACCUUGAGCAAAUCACUGCUGUUCUCUGGGUCCAUCUCCUCCUCUACCUCCGGGGUUCAUGGCCAGUGUCCCAGGUCUCUGGUCCGUGAGGAUGUGGUCGAGGAUGUUACAAGAGGCCUAUGUGUUCUGCUGUGACGCAGACGGAGCCCAGCUAACUCAAGCUCCACAUCUCUGUAUGUGCCUCACAUUUUUCAUUCCUAUUAUCUGAAGUCUGUUUCUAAUUUCUGACAGAACCACCAUGGCCUAUUGUGGGCCGCACUCUGCGUGACAUGCCAGUUUCAUUUUGGAGUCACUGCUAUUGUCUUUUGCCCUGCUAAUCUCUCUUGUUUUGCAAAAAUGCCAAUAGAAUGCAUGAACCCAGAGAGCUGCCCUUGUGCCCGAUCUUGGCGCUGUGUGGUCCCCACACAGGGGUGGAUGAUAGACAGACAGACCGUCUGCCACCCGAGGCAUCUUUUCUUGCUUAAAAAUUUGCCUUCCAGAUUGCAGACUCCCUUCCAACUUGAGCAAAGACGAACAUACUAAAUAAAAGCAGAGCUGAAAUUGGACAGAAUGUCUCAGCCCCUUCGAUUCAGACCUCGCUUGCAGGGGAAAGCGUGGGGAAGCGGAGGGGGCUCCGAUGGAUGUGCCUGCAUGGGGAACGCAGGGGAGGAAGGCGUCCAUACCUUUCUCCUACCAUUCGUGCCUGCAGCGGGGCCUGUCACCCAGGACCCAUCACUUAUGUAUGGUGUCCAUGGCAACCAGGCAAUGAAUAAAAUAAUUAGUGUGUGAUAAGGAUGCAGGAAAGGGCGACCGCUCCCGUCAUUAAUGCCUUCCCUGCUCCUGGAGGGCCGUGGCAGGCAGGGGGAGGGAGGAAAAUGUUAGCAUGCAUUCGGCUGGUAAUUAAGCAGCGCGAGCCAUCUGCACGUUGAAAGCUCUACAUUUUUCACGUCUCGUGGGGGCAUCGAAAUUUUCCAGACUGGAUCAUAUCCCCUGUCAGCCUCCACCCUGGCUUGCUAUGGAAGCCCCUCCAGCCCCCUGACCCCAAUCACUUAAAAUGCCUUGUGAACUCCGUUAUUCCUUUCUUGAAAUGCGUCAACCAGAACUGCACAUUCUUUGCAAAGUAAGUGCCUAAGAAAUAUUGGAGGGAACAGGAUACAGAUGUCUCUGCUGUCAUAGCAUAUACUUGUUCCUGAGAAGCUCCCAUGGUCUAGGGCAUGGACUGGUGGGGACAAAACUGGGUUGGGACAGACCACACUUAAAGCCCUACAACUCUGUAACCAAAGCACUCUCAAAAACUUUGUCAAAGCUAACAAAAAUGGGGGCGCCUGGGUGGCUCAGUCUAUUAAGUGUCUGUCUUCCGCUCAGGUCAUGAUCUCUGGUCCUGGGAUGGAGCCUGCACUGGCUCCCUGCUCUGCCUGCUUCUCCCCCCUACCCACUCUGCUGCUCCCCCACUGCCUGUGCUCAAGCUUGCUCUCUCUCAAAUAAAAUCUUUUAAAAAAGUAAAAACUAAAAUAAUGGGAGCCCCACUAAACCCCAAUGUGCACAAACAUCUACACAUGGCAUCCUGGCCUUGAGCUGGGGGCUGCUCACGACUUGAACGUGGUGCUUUAGAAAUAAAAGUCCUGGAGGACAUUA
This is a long non-coding RNA of Mustela lutreola (European mink), 2774 nucleotides long. RefSeq lists it as uncharacterized. The record is from RefSeq and is a predicted model, not a curated record. NCBI's taxonomy places the organism in Eukaryota, Metazoa, Chordata, Mammalia, Carnivora, Mustelidae. The transcript is spliced from 5 exons.